UCCCAUGUGACAAGAGAGGAAGAAGAGGCUGGAGCGACACUCCCACAAGCCAAGGACCACCAAGGAAAACUGCAUUUACUGGGAAGAGUCUCUACUGCUCUGAGAACACCUCCCCCCCACCGCCCCCCAGUUCACCUUGGGUUGGAUGGGUUUUCCAGACCAGGUUUGGUCCCUUUCCCUACCUCCAAAGUAGUCCUGUGGCUUCCAAAGGCACUCCAGAACCAGAAUCAGCUGUCUGACACCUUGAACUCUGGACCAGAGCUGCCUGAACAUGACGUUCACAUCAGGAAGAGCAUUGUUUGGAAGCACCCCAAAUGUUCUGCGGUAGAUGACUGAAGGACGGAAGGAAGCUGGUGGGCUGUGAGCUGUCCUAUGGAGAGACCCAUAUGGCAAGAAAGAGGGUGGCCUCUGGCCAAGAGUCCACAAAGAAUGGAAACUUACCAAUCACCACUUAAGUGAUUUUGGCAGCUGGUCUAUCUUCAACUGAGCCUUGAGGUGACUGAGACCUUGUGAGAAACCCAGAGCCAGAGGACCCAGUUAAGAUGCUCCUUGGAUUCCUGACCCACAGAACCCUCUCGAUAAUAAAUGUUGCUGUUUUAAGUCA
Long non-coding RNA from Hyaena hyaena (striped hyena), 604 nucleotides. RefSeq lists it as uncharacterized. NCBI's taxonomy places the organism in Eukaryota, Metazoa, Chordata, Mammalia, Carnivora, Hyaenidae. The record is from RefSeq and is a predicted model, not a curated record. The transcript is spliced from 2 exons.